Molecule: non-coding RNA, 114 nt
Organism: Acanthosepion pharaonis
Lineage: Eukaryota; Metazoa; Mollusca; Cephalopoda; Sepiida; Sepiidae
Source: the annotation of a GenBank genome assembly
UUACGGCCAUAUCACGUUUAAACACUAGCUCUUGUACGAUCACCAAAGUGAAGCAACGUCGAGCCUGGUCAAUACCUGCUUGGACGACCGCUUGGGAAUACCAGGUGUUGUAAG